RNAcentral lists this ribosomal RNA (699 nucleotides) under uncultured cyanobacterium. Its description in RNAcentral is "bacterial SSU rRNA". It matches the Rfam family "Bacterial small subunit ribosomal RNA", at positions 99 to 795 of the family's 1533-position model. Lineage: Bacteria; Bacillati; Cyanobacteriota. The record is from RNAcentral.
CGGACGGGUGAGUAACGCGUGAAUUACAUGCCCUUCAGUGGGGAAUAGCCCAGGGAAACUUGGAUUAAUACCCCAUGGUAUCGCAAGAUUAAAGGUGGCCAGCAAUGGCUGUCGCUGAAGGAUUGGUUCGCGCCCUAUCAGCUUGUUGGUGAGGUAACGGCCCACCAAGGCUACGACGGGUACCUGGUCUGAGAGGACGAUCAGGCACACUGGAACUGAGACACGGUCCAGACACCUACGGGUGGCAGCAGUCGAGAAUCAUUCACAAUGGGGGAAACCCUGAUGGUGCAACGCCGCGUGGAGGAUGAAGGCCCUCGGGUCGUAAACCCCUGUCAUCGGAGAGUAAGCUUUGGUCGUUAAUAGCUUCCAAAGUUGAUAGUAUCCGAAGAGGAAGGGACGGCUAACUUCGUGCCAGCAGCCGCGGUAAUACGAAGGUCCCAAGCGUUGUUCGGAAUCACUGGGCGUAAAGGGAGCGUAGGCGGCGUGGUAAGUCAGAUGUGAAAUCCCGGGGCUCAACCCCGGAACUGCAUCCGAUACUGCCAUGCUAGAGGAUUGGAGAGGUAGCUGGAAUUCUUGGUGUAGCAGUGAAAUGCGUAGAGAUCAAGAGGAACACUCGUGGCGAAAGCGAGCUACUGGACAAUUCCUGACGCUGAGGCUCGAAGGCUAGGGUAGCGAAAGGGAUUAGAUACCCCUGUAGUC